GACGAACGCUGGCGGCGUGCUUAACACAUGCAAGUCGAACGGAAAGGCCCUGCUUUUGUGGGGUGCUCGAGUGGCGAACGGGUGAGUAACACGUGAGUAACCUGCCCUUGACUUUGGGAUAACUUCAGGAAACUGGGGCUAAUACCGGAUAGGAGCUCCUGCUGCAUGGUGGGGGUUGGAAAGUUUCGGCGGUUGGGGAUGGACUCGCGGCUUAUCAGCUUGUUGGUGGGGUAGUGGCUUACCAAGGCUUUGACGGGUAGCCGGCCUGAGAGGGUGACAGGCAAAAUUGGGACUGGGAUACGGCCCAGACUCCUACGGGAGGCAGCAGUGGGGAAGAUUGCACAAUGGGCGGAAGCCUGAUGCAGCAACGCAGCGUGCGGGAUGACGGCCUUCGGGUUGUAAACCGCUUUCGCCUGUGACGAAGCGUGAGUGACGGUAACGGGUAAAGAAGCACCGGCUAACUACGUG
This 468-nucleotide ribosomal RNA is filed under the name uncultured bacterium. RNAcentral describes it as "partial 16S ribosomal RNA". It matches the Rfam family "Bacterial small subunit ribosomal RNA", at positions 28 to 507 of the family's 1533-position model. The record is from RNAcentral.